AGGAUUUUAAGUUAAAAAAACUGAAGAUUUUCAAAGUCUUUAAUAAAUAAUAUAUGUUUAAAUCUUG
Molecule: transfer RNA, 67 nt
Filed under: Spirula spirula
Lineage: Eukaryota; Metazoa; Mollusca; Cephalopoda; Spirulida; Spirulidae
Description: tRNA-Trp
Source: RNAcentral